UCCCAGCUGUAAACUAUGCAAACUCAGUGAUGCAUUGACUUGUGGUCAAUGCAGUGCUGCAGGGAAGCCGUUAAGUUUGCCGCCUGGGAAGUACGUACGCAAGUAUGAAACUUAAAGGAAUUGGCGGGGGAGCACCACAAGGGGUGAAGCCUGCGGUUCAAUUGGAGUCAACGCCAGAAAUCUUACCCGGAGAGACAGCAGAAUGAAGGUCAAGCUGAAGACUUUACCAGACA
This 233-nucleotide ribosomal RNA is filed under the name uncultured bacterium. Its description in RNAcentral is "partial 16S ribosomal RNA". It matches the Rfam family "Archaeal small subunit ribosomal RNA", at positions 745 to 977 of the family's 1478-position model. The record is from RNAcentral.